GUGAGGAAUAUUGCGCAAUGGAGGCAACUCUGACGCAGCCAUGCCGCGUGCAGGAAGAAGGCGCUACGCGUUGUAAACUGCUUUUAACCGGGAAGAAACCCCAGGACGUGUCCUGGGUUGACGGUACCGGAGGAAUAAGCACCGGCUAACUUCGUGCCAGCAGCCGCGGUAAUACGAAGGGUGCAAGCGUUAUCCGGAUUCAUUGGGUUUAAAGGGUGCGUAGGCGGAGCGUUAAGUCAGUGGUGAAAUCCUGCAGCUUAACUGUAGACUUGCCAUUGAUACUGGCGCGCUUGAGUGCGCUUGAAGUGGGCGGAAUGUGCCGUGUAGCGGUGAAAUGCUUAGAUAUGGCACAGAACACCAAUUGCGAAGGCAGCUCACUAAGGCGAUACUGACGCUGAGGCACGAAAGCGUGGGGAUCGAACAGGAUUAGAUACCCGAGUAGUCC
RNAcentral lists this ribosomal RNA (445 nucleotides) under uncultured bacterium. RNAcentral's name for it is "bacterial SSU rRNA". It matches the Rfam family "Bacterial small subunit ribosomal RNA", at positions 354 to 796 of the family's 1533-position model. The record is from RNAcentral.